UACAGGGGGUGCAAGCGUUUGUUCGGAAUUACUGGGCGUAAAGCGCGUGUAGGCGGCGUCGUUAGUCGGAUGUGAAAGCCCUCGGCUCAACCGAGGAACUGCCUUUCAAACUGCAUGGCUUGAGUCCGGGAGAGGUGAGUGGAAUUCCCAGUGUAGCGGUGAAAUGCGUAGAUAUUGGGAGGAACACCAGUGGCGAAGGCGGCUCACUGGACCGGAACUGACGCUGAGGCGCGAAAGCGUGGGGAGCAAACGGG
This 254-nucleotide ribosomal RNA is filed under the name uncultured bacterium. RNAcentral's name for it is "partial 16S ribosomal RNA". It matches the Rfam family "Bacterial small subunit ribosomal RNA", at positions 524 to 776 of the family's 1533-position model. The record is from RNAcentral.